GUAGCGGAUAGAAUUACUAAG
RNAcentral lists this small nuclear RNA (21 nucleotides) under Arabidopsis thaliana (thale cress). RNAcentral describes it as "snRNA_04111". The record is from RNAcentral. Lineage: Eukaryota; Viridiplantae; Streptophyta; Magnoliopsida; Brassicales; Brassicaceae.